UGCGGGAUCUGCUAAUGGUAGGCAAACAGGCUCUGAACCUGUGAAUCUAGGUCCGAAUCCUAGUCCCGCAGCCA
RNAcentral lists this transfer RNA (74 nucleotides) under Candidatus Daviesbacteria bacterium. RNAcentral's name for it is "tRNA-Gln". It matches the Rfam family "tRNA". Rfam says of the family: Transfer RNA (tRNA) molecules are approximately 80 nucleotides in length. Their secondary structure includes four short double-helical elements and three loops (D, anti-codon, and T loops). The record is from RNAcentral. Lineage: Bacteria; Candidatus Daviesiibacteriota.